Molecule: non-coding RNA, 206 nt
Organism: Pelobates cultripes (western spadefoot toad)
Lineage: Eukaryota; Metazoa; Chordata; Amphibia; Anura; Pelobatidae
Source: the annotation of a GenBank genome assembly
GCCAACACUUCGGCCACAUGGCCACAUGGAUUAUACGUAAUUUACACUUCCACUUUAUCAAAUACAAUAUCACCCAGCCGCCACCAGAAUGUGAAAAUGUCUGUAUGGGAGAAUUAAACUAGCUCUCUCAAUUAAUGUAUCCAUUUCACGUCUUCAUAUAACACUUUCUAUUAACUCCAUCCUGAUAUAAUUUUCUUGCCUUUCCC